RNAcentral lists this microRNA precursor (105 nucleotides) under Drosophila pseudoobscura. RNAcentral's name for it is "microRNA dps-mir-2567c precursor". The stretch from base 10 to 95 matches the Rfam family "mir-2567 microRNA precursor family". RNAcentral also lists the same sequence under 1 other name. Lineage: Eukaryota; Metazoa; Arthropoda; Insecta; Diptera; Drosophilidae. The record is from miRBase by way of RNAcentral.
GUAACCAAAUUUCAAGUUUCUUACCAGUGUGGAUUUGUAAAACGUUGCGUUUUUAAACUCGUAUUGCAUUUCCAAUCUGGCAAGUUAGCUUGAACAUCACCUGCG